UACAUACUUCUUCAUAUGCCCAUAUGGAGUCGGCCGGCUAUGGAAUGUUAAGAAGUAUGUAUC
This 63-nucleotide microRNA precursor is filed under the name Python bivittatus (Burmese python). RNAcentral's name for it is "Pbv-Mir-1-P4_pre stem-loop". It matches the Rfam family "mir-1 microRNA precursor family", at positions 9 to 71 of the family's 79-position model. Rfam says of the family: This family represents the microRNA (miRNA) mir-1 family. miRNAs are transcribed as ~70nt precursors (modelled here) and subsequently processed by the Dicer enzyme to give a ~22nt product. In this case the mature sequence comes from the 3' arm of the precursor. The record is from RNAcentral. Lineage: Eukaryota; Metazoa; Chordata; Lepidosauria; Squamata; Pythonidae.